Long non-coding RNA from Aegilops tauschii subsp. strangulata, 934 nucleotides. RefSeq lists it as uncharacterized. Lineage: Eukaryota; Viridiplantae; Streptophyta; Magnoliopsida; Poales; Poaceae. The record is from RefSeq and is a predicted model, not a curated record.
GCUUUCGUCCUCCUCCGCCUCCCCUGUCUUUCCGACCUCCAGAUCGCAGGCCGGCCACCGGAGUAACCGAGCGAGCUCACCUCCGCGGCGGUCCUUCCCGCGGUCGGCGAGAUCCAUCCGCAAUCUCCUCCCUUGCCCCACCUUCUAGUUCCAGAAUACCGUUCCGUUCUUUGGCGCGGCAAGCCGGAGAGCGGCCGGCGGCCACCGGAGACCGAGGCGGAUCUAGCAUGCGGCGGCGCUCCGGUGACACCCGCAGAAACCAAGCGCAAGGGUGAGGAGGCAACUCACUCGCACUCGGGCCGUGUGUUCUACUUCUUACAAUUCUCUUCACUUGGAUAAGCUUUCGGACGGAUAAAGGCAGCGAAGGCAUUUUGAUCCUGAUACCAGGUGCUUCGCUCAUUCUGCAAGUAAAGGAGUGGAGUAAUAGAGUUGGGGUGGAAUAACAGCGCAGUGCGGCACAUGUCGGCACUCUCAGGCGGCCAGAGAACGACGUGUUUCAACACUGCAAACUCAUUUUGGCAUUUCCAGUUGGGUGCACGAUGGUAGCUGCACGAUGCGCAUGCGGGUCUCUGAGAACGGCCUCUAUCUAUCUGGAGGGUAUACAUACAUUCAAGGCUUUGAGGAAGCAUAUCGCAAGCAAUGUCUGAAGUCGUCCCGGGCAGCUCCUGAACACACUUCUCUACAUGAAUUCUUCCAGGAUGACCAUCACUUGAUCUUCUUCUGUCGAGUACUGGGGCGUCUUGGCGGAGUGCGUGGCUGCUGCUGCUGUCAUCUUUGAUUUUGGUGAAUGCACUCGUCGCUGUCACUGAAUAGCAGAGGUGCUACGGUACAGACCUGGUGAAUAACAAACUAUGUACUAGUACUAGAGAAGAUUCAGAAGCCCAAGGCAUCUACAGUUUGGCCCUUCAACCAAGCAUCCAGCUUGCUUGCUACA